RNAcentral lists this ribosomal RNA (479 nucleotides) under uncultured bacterium. Its description in RNAcentral is "bacterial SSU rRNA". It matches the Rfam family "Bacterial small subunit ribosomal RNA", at positions 24 to 518 of the family's 1533-position model. The record is from RNAcentral.
UCAGGACGAACGCUGGCGGCGUAGCCUAACACAUGCAAGUCGAGCGAGGAGAGUCCUUCGGGAUGAUCCUAGCGGCGGACGGGUGAGUAACACGUGGGCAACCUGCCUCAUAGAGAGGAAUAGCCUUCCGAAAGGGAGAUUAAUACCUCAUAACAUUGCAGUUUCGCAUGGAACAGCAAUUAAAGGAGUAAUCCGCUAUGAGAUGGGCCCGCGGCGCAUUAGCUAGUUGGUGAGGUAACGGCUCACCAAGGCGACGAUGCGUAGCCGACCUGAGAGGGUGAUCGGCCACAUUGGGACUGAGACACGGCCCAGACUCCUACGGGAGGCAGCAGUGGGGAAUAUUGCACAAUGGGGGAAACCCUGAUGCAGCCAACGCCGCGUGAGUGAUGACGGCCUUCGGGUUGUAAAGCUCUGUCUUCAGGGACGAUAAUGACGGUACCUGAGGAGGAAGCCACGGCUAACUACGUGCCAGCAGCAGC